AUGUACAGAAUGAGACCAACAGUUUCAAAGACUGAAGACAAGGGAAAAGGCGUUCAAGCCUCACCCUCAGACAGAUACUCUCAGACAGUAUUAGGUAACCUUCAUUUUAAGCCACAGACUAUCACAGAACAAAAUAAUUUAGAAAAAAUAAAUUUUGGAAAGCAUAAUUUAAUAUUUUUCCCACCAUCAAAUAUUUCAUUUAGAGUUUUNNN
This 212-nucleotide long non-coding RNA is filed under the name Nicotiana benthamiana. RNAcentral describes it as "long non-coding RNA (NBEN_LNC027784)". Lineage: Eukaryota; Viridiplantae; Streptophyta; Magnoliopsida; Solanales; Solanaceae. The record is from RNAcentral.